AUUUCAGGGGUGCCUUAAUAUGACGGGCUGAGAACAUACCCUUAUUACCUGAACCGGGUAAUGCCGGCGUAGAGAAAUUUGA
RNAcentral lists this non-coding RNA (82 nucleotides) under uncultured Phocaeicola sp. The record is from RNAcentral. Lineage: Bacteria; Pseudomonadati; Bacteroidota; Bacteroidia; Bacteroidales; Bacteroidaceae.